CACAGUCGACGCUUCCCGAAAAACUCGGGGGCCCCCUCCCCGCUGGCGUGCACCCCGUGAUUGCGCCGCGGCCGGCACUUCCGCCCCGCGGGCCCUGCGGCCCGGGCAGGGCGCACGCUCCGCGCCCUGCGCCCGCGGUCCUGCCCCCUCGGAGGCGCCCGCGCCCGGGGAGGGCUGGGGGUUCCCGCGGCGCCCGCGGGCGGAGGGUGGGGGAAAGGAAGGAGGAUUUGCAACAAUACCUCGGGGAGGAGGCAGCCGGGGCAGCGGCGGCGGCGGCGGCGGCUGGAGGCGGAGGCAGAGGCGCAGGAGGAGGUGCCGGGCACUCCCCCUCCCAUUGUCCCCAGCCCCGGCCAGGCCCGGCCCCGCGCCCCGCACCGCGCCCCGCGCCCCGCGCCCCGGGCCGUGCAGGCAGCCCUUACCUUGCAGCGCCCGGCUCUCCCCCGCUCGCUAAAGCUACUUAUCCCGGGAAAGCUCGCGCGGGGCCCGGGAGCGAACCCACAGACAAAAAGUGAAACUUCGGCAGGGCUGGAGCGGCUGCUGGUUGGUGCCUUUCCCCCUCCUUCCUCCCCACCGUCCCCACCCCCUCCCCUCGGUCUCCCGUGCGGUGCCCUGAGAGCUGGAGGCUGACGUCAGGGGCCUGAAUUCCUGACUUUGCCUGCACGCAUUUGUCCAUGUAAGCUUCUUUGCCCAUCUAAGAACACAACUCUAGAGAACUGGGCCAUCAGACACUUUUCUUCGGGGAAUAACACUGGAUUAAAAGGCAGUUCAAGGGGCCGGCCCCGUGGCCGAGAGAUUAAGUUCACGCACUCCACUUCGGCAGCCCAGAGUUUCGCCGGUUUGGAUCCUGGGUGUGGACAUGGCACCGCUCAUCAAGCCAUGCUGAGGGGGCACCCCGCAUGCCACAACUAGAAGGACCCACAACUAAAAAUACACAACUAUGUACCGGGGGAUUUUGGGAGAAAAAUGAAAAAUAAAAUAAAAUAAAAUAAAGACAGUUCAAGGCAUGCCAAGAGGAAUUGUGAUUAUCUGCUCUAGGAGCAUUGUCCACACCAUGAAUUAUUAUGCACCCUGGACCUGUCUCUUUCGAGUCACUGACAAGUGGAGGAGACACCUAGUUUAAAACUCUAGCUUAGCCUCUGACCAGUGAAAACAUGUAGACCAUGUCGAAUUAGCAACAAAUACCUCCCCCUCUCCACUGGGAGAGGACUGGGUGGCAGAAGCAGAAGUUUCCUUUCAACACACCACAGUUCCCACCCCAGAGAAAUGACAACAGCAGACGUUGGGCCAGGGGGAUAUAUAUUCAGACACACCGCCCCUCCAGCACAGGUUGUUAGAGAAGAGUUCUGCAGAAACACAGGACUGUCAGCAGAACCUGGGGGAACCCUCUACCCUGUCUAGGGACCUAUACCAAG
This 1412-nucleotide long non-coding RNA is filed under the name Equus caballus (horse). RNAcentral describes it as "lncRNA (ENSECAG00000038676.3)". Lineage: Eukaryota; Metazoa; Chordata; Mammalia; Perissodactyla; Equidae. The record is from RNAcentral.